Molecule: ribosomal RNA, 436 nt
Filed under: uncultured Anaerovorax sp.
Lineage: Bacteria; Bacillati; Bacillota; Clostridia; Peptostreptococcales; Anaerovoracaceae
Description: partial 16S ribosomal RNA
Rfam family: Bacterial small subunit ribosomal RNA
Source: RNAcentral
ACGGGAGGCAGCAGUGGGGAAUAUUGCACAAUGGGCGCAAGCCUGAUGCAGCAACGCCGCGUGAGUGAUGAAGGUCUUCGGAUUGUAAAACUCUGUCCUUAGGGACGAAACAAAUGACGGUACCUGAGGCUGCAGCCCCGGCUAACUACGUGCCAGCAGCCGCGGUAAUACGUAGGGGGCGAGCGUUAUCCGGAAUUAUUGGGCGUAAAGAGUACGUAGGUGGUUUUGUAAGCGUAAGGUGAAAGCCCGGGGCUUAACGCCGGCGAGCUUUACGAACUGCAAGACUUGAGUGCAGGAGGGGAAAGUGGAAUUCCUAGUGUAGCGGUGAAAUGCGUAGAUAUUAGGAGGAACACCGGUGGCGAAGGCGACUUUCUGGACUGUAACUGACACUGAGGUACGAAAGCGUGGGGAGCAAACAGGAUUAGAUACCCUGGUA